AACAUUGGAUAGCGGCGGACGGGUGAGUAACGCGUGGGCAACCUGCCCUACAGAGGGGGAUAACAGUGCGAAAGCACUACUAAUACCGCAUGAUAUUGUCGAAUCGCAUGGUUUGACAAUCAAAGGAGAAAUCCGCUGUAGGAUGGGCCCGCGUCUGAUUAGCUAGUUGGUGAGGUAAGAGCUCACCAAGGCGACGAUCAGUAGCCGAUCUGAGAGGAUGAACGGCCACACUGGAACUGAGACACGGUCCAGACUCCUACGGGAGGCAGCAGUGGGGAAUAUUGCACAAUGGGCGAAAGCCUGAUGCAGCAACGCCGCGUGGAGGACGAAUGCCUUCGGGUUGUAAACUCCUUUGAUGAGGGACGAAUAAAUGACGGUACCUCAAAAACAAGCCACGGCUAACUACGUGCCAGCAGCCGCGGUAAUACGUAUGUGGCAAGCGUUGUCCGGAAUUAUUGGGCGUAAAGGGCGCGUAGCGGUUUCCUAAGUCAGAUGUGAAAACCCCGGGCUUAACCUGGGACCUGCAUUUGAAACUGGGAGACUAGAGUACAGGAGAGGUAAGUGGAAUUCCUAGUGUAGCGGUGAAAUGCGUAGAUAUAGAGACCACCAGUGGCGAGCCACUACUGAACUGUACUGACGCUGAGGCGCGAAAGCGUGGGGAGCAA
This 665-nucleotide ribosomal RNA is filed under the name uncultured bacterium. Its description in RNAcentral is "bacterial SSU rRNA". It matches the Rfam family "Bacterial small subunit ribosomal RNA", at positions 84 to 771 of the family's 1533-position model. The record is from RNAcentral.